GAUGAACGCUGGCGGCGUGCCUAAUACAUGCAAGUCGAGCGAACAGACGAGGAGCUUGCUCCUCUGACGUUAGCGGCGGACGGGUGAGUAACACGUGGAUAACCUACCUAUAAGACUGGGAUAACUUCGGGAAACCGGAGCUAAUACCGGAUAAUAUAUUGAACCGCAUGGUUCAAUAGUGAAGGACGGUUUUGCUGUCACUUAUAGAUGGAUCCGCGCCGCAUUAGCUAGUUGGUAAGGUAACAGCUUACCAAGGCAACGAUGCGUAGCCGACCUGAAAGGGUGAUCGGCCACACUGGAACUGAGACACGGUCCAGACUCCUACGGGAGGCAGCAGUAGGGAAUCUUCCGCAAUGGGCGAAAGCCUGACGGAGCAACGCCGCGUGAGUGAUGAAGGUCUUCGGAUCGUAAAACUCUGUUAUUAGGGAAGAACAAAUGUGUAAGUAACUAUGCACGUCUUGACGGUACCUAAUCAGAAAGCCACGGCUAACUACGUG
This 497-nucleotide ribosomal RNA is filed under the name uncultured bacterium. RNAcentral describes it as "partial 16S ribosomal RNA". It matches the Rfam family "Bacterial small subunit ribosomal RNA", at positions 28 to 507 of the family's 1533-position model. The record is from RNAcentral.